GAUGGACGCUGGCGGCGUGCCUAAUACAUGCAAGUCGAGCGAACAGACGAGGAGCUUGCUCCUCUGACGUUAGCGGCGGACGGGUGAGUAACACGUGGAUAACCUACCUAUAAGACUGGGAUAACUUCGGGAAACCGGAGCUAAUACCGGAUAAUAUAUUGAACCGCAUGGUUCAAUAGUGAAAGACGGUUUUGCUGUCACUUAUAGAUGGAUCCGCGCCGCAUUAGCUAGUUGGUAAGGUAACGGCUUACCAAGGCAACGAUGCGUAGCCGACCUGAGAGGGUGAUCGGCCACACUGGAACUGAGACACGGUCCAGACUCCUACGGGAGGCAGCAGUAGGGAAUCUUCCGCAAUGGGCGAAAGCCUGACGGAGCAACGCCGCGUGAGUGAUGAGGGUCUUCGGAUCGUAAAACUCUGUUAUUAGGGAAGAACAAAUGUGUAAGUAACUAUGCACGUCUUGACGGUACCUAAUCAGAAAGCCACGGCUAACUACGUG
This 497-nucleotide ribosomal RNA is filed under the name uncultured bacterium. RNAcentral describes it as "partial 16S ribosomal RNA". It matches the Rfam family "Bacterial small subunit ribosomal RNA", at positions 28 to 507 of the family's 1533-position model. The record is from RNAcentral.